GGCCAAAGGAAGAACAAAGGAAGGAAAAGGAACAACCAAACCCUAGGUGGAGAAUUUCAAGAGAAAAGUGUGGAAAAAUCAAGGAAAACAAGUGAAAAAGGUAGGAUUUCUCAAUUUAAACUUGAAAUCUAUCUUCCUUAAGCAUUUCUCCUAAUUUUCCAUGGUUAAAUUACAUGUUUUAAUGGUGAAUUCAUGGUUAGACGAAUGGGUAUGGAGAGAGAAUGAUGUUGGAUUGAUUUGAUUUCAAGUUAUGUUAGUGUUUUUAGUUAGUUUACCAUGUCUAAAAGCAAAACAACAGGAAAAGAAUUCAUUUUCCCCAUCACCCACCAAUGGCCGAACCUACCUUGUAUUGAGUGAGGAUGAAUUUGAUUUUUAUUUUAAGAGAAUUGGUUAGAAAAUGAUGAAUUAUGGUGUGGAAAAGUAGUAGGAAAAAUCACGGUGUUGAUGCACCAUUAUUGACCGAAAAUUCUAAAAAGAAAAGUGAAGAUGGAUUUGCCAAAUUUUAGGUUAUUUGACUUGUGUUUGGUGAAUUAAGAAUUGGAAGAAAAGUGGAGUUAAUAUGAGUUAAAUUGGACGUAUUGGCCAAUUAAUCGAGUGAUAGAUCGAAUUAGGCCAAUACCUAUUUAUUUAGGUACACAAGUGAAUUUAUAUUGAACACCGUAUUUAGAUAGUUACCUGAGUAUUUCACAUCCCAUUUCAUGCAUUAGUAUAGAGCCUGAAUUGAUUUUAUAACAAUUUAGCACAAAUGUAGUAAAUGGCUUAAUGUGCAUUAUGUCUAGGUGGUGAGCAUUUUGGCAACAAUAAAGAGAUAGUACCCGAGGAUCAGGAAUCGGUGUACUUGAAAUUCGACUCCCGAAUCAGUGAGUAACCUUACUAUCGUCUUAAUUAUCUAAAGUGGUUUUUAUCCAAUUUUGUGAUUUUUGGAAAAUGAGUUUAAAUGGUAAAUCUUUAUGUUUUAUAAAUAAAAUGUGUUUAAAUGAAAUGAUUUUAUAAAUUAUCGUGAAAUUAAAUGAUGGCUUUAAAAAUAGAGUAAUUGGAGACCACUUGAUGUGUUGUAAAUUUAUGGUUCUAAUUGAUUGGCUUAUGGCAAUAUUGGCAUGAAUGGUUGACUUGAUAAAUGUGCUAAAAAUGUAUGAACUGUUGAUUUGCCUUGAGAGGCUGUAAAAUAAAAUAAUUGCCAUGUCAUGCUAUAUCAAAUUUUAUUGUAUGGUGGGUUAAGCUUGCUGCAGUGGGCAGGGUUCUGUGGACUAGCCUAUUAGAGGGGCACAAAAUCCUGAUAUAUUUUACCUCGGUUGGAGAGGCAAGUAAGGUAACUCCUAAGGUAUAACUUUUAGAGUUCACUUCACCUCAAACCACCACGUGAGGGUGAACUCAGCCAACGCCAAGGAACGACUAUAUUUUCAAAAUAAAAACAUGAUUUAUGAGUACAUAACUUUUUAAUAGCCUUGGCGGACUCAGUUUGGGAUAACCCGAGGCCAAAGUAUCCCUGAUAACUAAGUAUGAGAAUGAUUUUGGCACGAGCCAAAUCUUUUAAGAAAUUCAUAAGCCAUAUUAAUUACUCGAUUUAUAUGAAUUGAUUUUAUUUGGUUGAAACUUGUUCAAAGGUGAUGAAUUACAGUAUAUUAAACUAUUAUCUGUCUCCAUUCACUCAGCUUUAGAUAUUUUAGAUGGUAUUUGUUUACUCACUGGGAUUAUAUAAUCUCACCACCCUCCUUUCCACCCAUUUCAGGCUCAAAAUAGAUUGUAGAUAACUGAUAUCGUCGAGGACUACAGUUGGACUUGCCACAUUCAAAAAUUGUAGGUUCAUUUCUUUUGAUACUUUUAGUCAUUCGUGGGCCCAUGUGUCACUGUAAAUUAAAUUUUAUACUUUGGUUAUCUAUAUUACAGUAUGUAUGAAUUUAUUUAGCUUUUACGCUACAAAAAUUAUUUAUCGGUAACUCUAUAAAUAUUGUUUUAUAAGAAAAUAGAAUAUUUUAUUGAAUAUUUUUGUUAUAUUCAAAUAGAUAUAGUUUUGUUUUAAAUGAAUGUUUUAGACAUCUAAAUUUAUUUUUGAUUAUGAAAUAUGUGUUUUCCACUCGUAUACUACAUUUUUAACUGGUUUCGAGAUUUGUGAGGAAAAAUGACCAAAAUGCCCCUAUGAGACAAAAAAUUUAUUUUUCUAUUGUUUUGAUUUGGAAAUAGUUUAUAACCUCUCAAAACAUGAUAUAUUGCAAUUGUUGAUCACAAGGGAGGUGAGAAAACUGAUAUUAAAGCCUUGCGAGGUCCCGAUCGGCAUUUCGGGCGAUGAAUGUCUAUCGGGACAUCGCGACGGUUGUCACGGGCUCGAGAAGAGUACCGGGUCGUGAGAGCAUUUAUAGUCACUCAUGCCUUCGAAAGCCUCAUUACUCACUUUAAAUGGUUUUAUAAUCUUAUAAAUCAUUUUAGAUUGAAUUGUUUUUCAUUUAUGGUUAAAACACAUCAUAAUUUGCUAUUUGCAUUGGAAAACAUAAAGCGAAAACCAUCCAUUGACGACAAAAGUCCAUUUAUAGUCACUCAUGCCUUCAGAAGCCUAGUUACUCACUUGAAAUGGAUUUAUAAUCUUAUAAAUGAUUUUAGAUUGAAUUUUUUCAUUUUUUGUUAAAGUAGAUUAUAUUGGAUGUAUGCAUUGGGAAACGUGAAGCAAAAUCCAUUCAUUGACAAUAAAAGUUCAUUUAUAGUAAUGAG
RNAcentral lists this long non-coding RNA (2703 nucleotides) under Theobroma cacao (cacao). RNAcentral describes it as "long non-coding RNA (TCAC_LNC006449)". The record is from RNAcentral. Lineage: Eukaryota; Viridiplantae; Streptophyta; Magnoliopsida; Malvales; Malvaceae.